Molecule: long non-coding RNA, 1016 nt
Organism: Herpailurus yagouaroundi (jaguarundi)
Lineage: Eukaryota; Metazoa; Chordata; Mammalia; Carnivora; Felidae
Exons: 4
Source: RefSeq, a predicted model, not a curated record
CCUCAGCACACCACACUUUGGCAGGGGGCAAGGGGGCUUCUCUCCACAUGCAUUUUUGGGAGCAAUGUCCCCGUAGACUUGUGUUCUUUUAUUCAUUGACUCACACAUUCAUAUCCGGAUGGGCUUUUGCUGAUGCCCCACUAAGCGCAAGCCCCGUGCUGGGCCCUGGACAAGACACCUCCAGCCCUCGGGCAGCUGACUCGGCCAGGGAGAAGCCGGCCCCACAGCCACCUGCCUGUUCCACUGAAUGUGGGGACAGGAGCUCUGGGAGUGCAGAGAGGGGCAGCUUACAGAACACGCUCCCACGCAGAACCCCACUGAGCCUCACACAGCCUGGGACACACGCGGUGCCGUCAUCACACACAGAGACUGUGUCUCCUGCUCAGCAACCCCCAGCUUCAGGGAGCACUCGCUGGACGCACCAGCCUGUGAAAGGCCGCCCCCUGGCGGUCCGCCACUGACACCAGCACCUCAGAGUCCAUAAACUACAAGGUCAAGGUGAACCGGCCACACAGCACAGGUGACAAUGGGACUGAAAGUGUCUAAGGAAUAAGAACGUACCCCCAAGAAGUCUUCGAGAAAGGCCAGCGGUGUGAAUCUGCCUCUUCUUCUCGGUCUGCAUUUCCCUACCUCAUCUUGUGGAAAGAGGGGCAAUUGAAAAUGCUAAGUGGUGUUGGCAUCCACUGUUCCCUUGUCACUGGUCCUUGAAGACUUGGUGUGUCUAGGGUGUGAGUAAGCACGUGUGCAUUUGGAGGACUGUCACUGCUUUUCUCACGUCACUCAAAUCCCUGUAUGGUUAAUUAAAAGCCAUGGCAUCAUCUCUACUGUGACAUGGGAUGAUCCCUGCUCUACGAUCCGUCAUCCUAAUUAGCAAGGAGAGAAGGGAUUUGUCUGCUUUCAAUGUGUAUGUUUUAAAGCUGGCGAAACUCAGAGGAGAUGGGCCUGAGCGAAUCCAGCAUGAAAUUCUAUUCAGAAAAUCGUUUGUGAAUUUUGAAACAUGAUCUUGGGCUUGUUCA